CAGGGAGGAACUUAAAGGAACACUGUAGUCACUAUAAGCAUUUCAUCUCUGUGAAUUGGUUAUAGUGCCCUGCCAUUGUCCCUCCAUUCAGUGUUGAACCAUGUUCGUGCAGUAUUCCACAAAAUAAGAGUCCCUGGCCACCCACAGUCCAGCCCCUUCAGUAUGUGUAGCUAAGGCAGAGAUUACACACUUCCUUGUUGUCAUACCC
Pelobates cultripes (western spadefoot toad) is the source of this 208-nucleotide non-coding RNA. The record is from the annotation of a GenBank genome assembly. NCBI's taxonomy places the organism in Eukaryota, Metazoa, Chordata, Amphibia, Anura, Pelobatidae.